Long non-coding RNA from Salvelinus namaycush (lake trout), 542 nucleotides. RefSeq lists it as uncharacterized. The transcript has 4 exons. NCBI's taxonomy places the organism in Eukaryota, Metazoa, Chordata, Actinopteri, Salmoniformes, Salmonidae. The record is from RefSeq and is a predicted model, not a curated record.
ACAGUAAGUUGACUAACUGUACAAGACCUCUCCCCUUCACUUCACUCUACUGCAGGGUGGGAGAUGCAACAAUGGCCUUGAGAACAGCAGGAAGUGUGUUGGUGGUCUUUCUCUGGUCUGUAGCAGUGGUACUGGGUCAGGAUGGCUGGAGUGUGACUUACACCACUCAGAGUAUCUGUGCCUUGAAGGGGUCAACAGUGGAGCUGACCUGCUCUUACACAUAUCCCAGAGGUCAUAAAGUCACAUCAACCCUCUGGUUCACUAAAUGGGGGACUGGUGUAGAACCUAAAGAUCUAGGUCAGGACCCAGAGUAUACAGGUCGUCUGGAGUAUCAUGGGGAUAAGAAAAAAGACUGUACCCUGAGAAUCACAGACCUGAGAGAGAGUGACUCAGCUAUGUACAAGUUCAGAUUUAUAACAGAUCAGACUGAAGGGAGAUAUUAUGGAGAUCCUGGAGUCACUCUGUCUGUAACAGCUCUGCAGGUGAAGGUGACUCCUUCACAUUGGUCACAGAGGAAGACACUGACCUGUAGAACCACCAGC